This 492-nucleotide ribosomal RNA is filed under the name uncultured bacterium. RNAcentral describes it as "partial 16S ribosomal RNA". It matches the Rfam family "Bacterial small subunit ribosomal RNA", at positions 29 to 507 of the family's 1533-position model. The record is from RNAcentral.
AGUGAACGCUGGCGGUUGGCCUAACACAUGCAAGUCGAACGGCAGCACAGUAAGAGCUUGCUCUUACGGGUGGCGAGUGGCGGACGGGUGAGGAAUACAUCGGAAUCUACUUUUUCGUGGGGGAUAACGUAGGGAAACUUACGCUAAUACCGCAUACGACCUACGGGUGAAAGCAGGGGAUCUUCGGACCUUGCGCGAUUGAAUGAGCCGAUGUCGGAUUAGCUAGUUGGCGGGGUAAAGGCCCACCAAGGCGACGAUCCGUAGCUGGUCUGAGAGGAUGAUCAGCCACACUGGAACUGGGACACGGUCCAGACUCCUACGGGAGGCAGCAGUGGGGAAUAUUGGACAAAGGGCGCAAGCCUGAUCCAGCCAUACCGCGUGGGUGAAGAAGGCCUUCGGGUUGUAAAGCCCUUUUGUUGGGAAAGAAAAGCAGCAGGUUAAUACCCCGCUGUUCUGACGGUACCCAAAGAAUAAGCACCGGCUAACUUCGUG